Molecule: non-coding RNA, 215 nt
Filed under: Peptostreptococcus stomatis
Lineage: Bacteria; Bacillati; Bacillota; Clostridia; Peptostreptococcales; Peptostreptococcaceae
Description: T-box sequence
Rfam family: T-box leader
About the family: Uncharged tRNA acts as the effector for transcription antitermination of genes in the T-box leader family. T-boxes are found upstream of many aminoacyl-tRNA synthetase genes and some amino acid biosynthetic genes usually in Gram-positive bacteria.
Source: RNAcentral
AUAUAUGCUAUGAAAAAGGAAGAGUAGGGUGGCAAUCAUCUAUAGAGAGGUUGGAUCAUCGGCUGGAAGUCCAACUAGACAGACCUAUCUGAAAACUACCUUUGAGCAGGACUUAGUAGCCUAGGUGAAAGUGUUCGGUUGACUACCUUAUAGUCGUUUGAGUGUCCAGAGUCUAUCUGGAAACUUGGGUGGAACCGCGAUUAUUCGUCCCAAUU